UUUCCUAUAUUGUUUCCCCCGUCUUCUGUCUAUAUCUAAAAAUCCAAGUUAAUAACAAGCUGACACCGUUGUGGCUUAGAUCAUUUAAUUAAUUACUGAGAAGUGAAUAUGUGCACGGAACAUUUCUAAUGCUAUUUAUUUAUUCUCAACACAACAUCAGUUGUUUUGAGCACACUGUUCAUUGAUCAUCAGUGUCAUAAAGCAACUGCAUUGGGAACACUUAACACUCGCUCCUAAAUAUAAUCUUGUGCCACUUUGACUUUUAAUGAUAAAAUAGCAAAGACCGCUUUGAGUAGAUUGAUCUUCAUUUCUGAUCCAUCACCUGAUAAGCUCACCUUGACAAAGUGCCUCGAAUUAGACAAUAACGAGCCUCACUCUUAUGUGAUGUCACUUACAGGGAGUUUGAAAAAAAAUUCCCUCACCAAAGACAUAACAAGGAAAGAUGCGGAAAAAGCAGUGCCAAAAUGGCUGAUUGGUGUCAGGGACAGGGGAUGCAACCGUGCCAUGAGAGCACAUGGAGGAGAGCAAAACCGCACUUUUCUGUGAGUGUCCAUGCACCGUCCAAUAACGGUGCGCGCUGGCAGUAGCACAUACACAAUGAAUGGGUUCGUCGGCGGAGGUCGACGGAAAACCAAAAGACACUUAAACUGCUGAGUGACUAAACUGCUAUCCCUACAGACACCUCGACUUCAUUUCCCUCCAGGGACGCUGGAAGGUGUUUUUUUAGUGGGGGUCGUGCUAUCUACACCCCACUUCCCUUGUCCCUGUCUCCCUCCCAUAUUUGUCUGUUUAUAUUUGUUCAAUAUGUUUUAACUUCGUUCUUGAUGGUUUAUGUUCUGAAAAAAUGUAA
Molecule: long non-coding RNA, 850 nt
Organism: Epinephelus moara (kelp grouper)
Lineage: Eukaryota; Metazoa; Chordata; Actinopteri; Perciformes; Serranidae
Exons: 3
Source: RefSeq, a predicted model, not a curated record